RNAcentral lists this ribosomal RNA (497 nucleotides) under uncultured bacterium. RNAcentral's name for it is "partial 16S ribosomal RNA". It matches the Rfam family "Bacterial small subunit ribosomal RNA", at positions 27 to 507 of the family's 1533-position model. The record is from RNAcentral.
GGGGGGGGGGGGGGGGGGGGGGGGGGGGGGGGGGGCGGGGGGGGGGGUGGGGGGGGUGGGCGGCGGAGGUGGGCGGCGGGCGGGUGGGUAACACGUGGAUAACCUACCUAUAAGACUGGGAUAACUUCGGGAAACCGGAGCUAAUACCGGAUAAUAUAUUGAACCGCAUGGUUCAAUAGUGAAAGACGGUUUUGCUGUCACUUAUAGAUGGAUCCGCGCCGCAGUAGCUAGUUGGUAAGGUAACGGCGUACCAAGGCAACGAUGCGUAGCCGACCUGAGAGGGUGAUCGGCCACACUGGAACUGAGACACGGUCCAGACUCCUACGGGAGGCAGCAGUAGGGAAUCUUCCGCAAUGGGCGAAAGCCUGACGGAGCAACGCCGCGUGAGUGAUGAAGGUCUUCGGAUCGUAAAACUCUGUUAUUAGGGAAGAACAAAUGUGUAAGUAACUAUGCACGUCUUGACGGUACCUAAUCAGAAAGCCACGGCUAACUACGUG